This 161-nucleotide ribosomal RNA is filed under the name Heptapleurum calyptratum. RNAcentral's name for it is "Tupidanthus calyptratus 5.8S ribosomal RNA". It matches the Rfam family "5.8S ribosomal RNA". Rfam says of the family: 5.8S ribosomal RNA (5.8S rRNA) is a component of the large subunit of the eukaryotic ribosome. It is transcribed by RNA polymerase I as part of the 45S precursor that also contains 18S and 28S rRNA. Functionally, it is thought that 5.8S rRNA may be involved in ribosome translocation. The record is from RNAcentral. Lineage: Eukaryota; Viridiplantae; Streptophyta; Magnoliopsida; Apiales; Araliaceae.
AAACGACUCUCGGCAACGGAUAUCUCGGCUCUCGCAUCGAUGAAGAACGUAGCGAAAUGCGAUACUUGGUGUGAAUUGCAGAAUCCCGUGAACCAUCGAGUCUUUGAACGCAAGUUGCGCCGAAGCCAUUAGGUUGAGGGCACGUCUGCCUGGGCGUCACG